AACUUUUAACAACGGAUCUCUUGGCUCUCGCAUCGAUGAAGAACGCAGCGAAAUGCGAUAAGUAAUGUGAAUUGAAGAAUUCAGUGAAUCAUCGAAUCUUUGAACGCACCUUGCGCCCUUUGGUUAUUCCGAAGGGCAUGCCUGUUUGAGUAUCGUGAACACCUCAACUCUCACGGUUUGCCGUGAUGAGCUUGGAUUUUGGGGGUCUUGCUGGCCUAUGGUCGGCUCCUCUCAAAUGAAUCAGCUUGCCAGUGUUUGGUGGCAUCACAGGUGUGAUAACUAUCUAUGCUUGUGGUUUUCCACCAGGUAACCUCCAGCAAUGGAGGUUCGCUGGAGCUCAUAAAUGUCCCUCCUCAGCGAGGACAGCUUUUGAACGUUUGAUCUCAAAUCAGGUAGGACUUCCCGCUGAACUUAAGCAUAUCAAUAAGCGGAGGCU
RNAcentral lists this unclassified non-coding RNA (436 nucleotides) under uncultured Thelephoraceae. RNAcentral's name for it is "sequence contains ITS2". The stretch from base 1 to 155 matches the Rfam family "5.8S ribosomal RNA". The record is from RNAcentral. Lineage: Eukaryota; Fungi; Basidiomycota; Agaricomycetes; Thelephorales; Thelephoraceae.